Molecule: long non-coding RNA, 965 nt
Filed under: Cucumis sativus (cucumber)
Lineage: Eukaryota; Viridiplantae; Streptophyta; Magnoliopsida; Cucurbitales; Cucurbitaceae
Description: long non-coding RNA (CSAT_LNC000638)
Source: RNAcentral
UUUUGUUGAACUUGGAAUCUUUUUUCUUGUCAUUGUGGUAGAAAGAAAGUGAAUUGAAACUUUGAAGCUACUUAUUGAAUUGCUCUGUUCUGCCAAAUGAGACCUUGUUUCUUUCUUUGGAAUUGUUUAUGAAUGCCGAAACUGAUAUCCUAAGAAUUGGUUUUCAAUGUCAAGAAUCUAUUUGGCAUGUUUCAAUUAUGCUUUUCUUGAUUUCGUAUAAGUUUUCCUCUUGUAUGAAUUCUUUGUAAACAAUUUUGGCUUUGCUUCGUCUGUCUCUUCAUUCUUGUCACUCUGCUCAAAAGCAAUCUGAUUAUGAACUUUUACCUUUAGUUCCAUGGCUGUAAUCGUAAUGCUUUGGUUUGAAUUGAACUUCAAGUCAUGAUAUAUUGGGUUAGCUUUGAAAUAUUUGAUGGUUGUCUUUGUGGCAUCCAGCAUGUCUCAAUGUGGUAAAGAAGCUUAGAGUCAUUUAGUAACCUUUCCAUUUUUUUGUUUUUAGUUAUUAUAAAAAUGUCUGUUUGCAAAGUGUUCCUUGUUUGCCCUUUCUUGAUGUUUCUAAUAUUUGUACACCAAUUUUGAAAUCAAAACAAAAUACUUUUCUUGUUUUUGUUAUGUGUAACAAUCCAAAGUUAGUAUGAAGAGAAAAUAACAAGCAACAAGUAAGAAAUGAGGACGUUACGAAAUGAGCCUAAUUUAUCAUCAGUCGAAGUACUUCUUAUGUCGCACCAGCUAGUGAAGUUGUGUGUAUUUCUUUAGUUGUAUAAAUGGGUUGUUGCCAGAACCACAAAUCUUUUCUUCUUUCCUUUGUACUCUCAGUUGCCUGAGAAAAUCCGAGCGGAUAUCAUAGUUCUAAAUGUAGGUUAUACAAUAUGAAGAUAAUCAUUUGGUUUAUGUUCUGUUUCAUUACUAGUUACAUUUAAUAAAACUCCUGGACGAUAUAGUAUUUGUUGGAUAUAUUUGCAUACCUA